Molecule: ribosomal RNA, 497 nt
Filed under: uncultured bacterium
Lineage: Bacteria
Description: partial 16S ribosomal RNA
Rfam family: Bacterial small subunit ribosomal RNA
Source: RNAcentral
GAUGAACGCUGGCGGCGUGCCUAAUACAUGCAAGUCGAGCGAACGGACGAGAAUCUUGCUUCUCUGAUGUUAGCGGCGGACGGGUGAGUAACACGUGGAUAACCGACCUAUAAGACUGGGAUAACUUCGGGAAACCUGAUCUAAUACCGGAUGAUAUUUUGAACCGCAUGGUUCAAAAGUGAAAGACGUUCUUGCUGUCACUUAUAGAUGUAUCCUGGCUGCAUUAGCUAGUUGGUAAGGUAACGGCUUACCAAGGCGACGAUGCAUAGCCGACCUGAGAGGAUGAUCAGCCACACUGGAACUGAGACACGGUCCAGACUCCUACGGGAGGCAGCAGUAGGGAAUAUUCCGCAAUGGGCGAAAGCCUGACGGAGCAACGCCGCGUGAGUGAUGAAGGUCUUCGGAUCGUAAAACUCUGUUAUUAGGGAAGAACAUAAGUGAGAGUAACUGUGCACAUCUUGACGGUACCUACAGAGAAAGCCACGGCUAACUACGUG